Molecule: ribosomal RNA, 253 nt
Filed under: uncultured bacterium
Lineage: Bacteria
Description: partial 16S ribosomal RNA
Rfam family: Bacterial small subunit ribosomal RNA
Source: RNAcentral
UACGAAGGGGGCUAGCGUUGCUCGGAAUCACUGGGCGUAAAGCGCACGUAGGCGGCUUCUUAAGUCAGGGGUGAGAUCCUGGAGCUCAACUCCAGAACUGCCUUUGAUACUGAGAAGCUUGAGUCCGGGAGAGGUGAGUGGAACUGCGAGUGUAGAGGUGAAAUUCGUAGAUAUUCGCAAGAACACCAGUGGCGAAGGCGGCUCACUGGCCCGGUACUGACGCUGAGGUGCGAAAGCGUGGGGAGCAAACAGG